Long non-coding RNA from Astatotilapia calliptera (eastern happy), 1094 nucleotides. NCBI's taxonomy places the organism in Eukaryota, Metazoa, Chordata, Actinopteri, Cichliformes, Cichlidae. The record is from Ensembl.
ACACUUAAAAAGUUAACGGCUACAACAACGGGGAAUAAUUGUUUAAAAAGAAGCCAUGCGUUGGAUCCGAUUCCUCCCACCCAAAUGUUAUUUAGGUGAAAAUAAAACUGCCACCGGACACGUUUGCUUGAGGAAUCCAUCAGACCAGACCACCUCCAUUUUAUGAACCCACAGAACCCUCCCCAUCCAGCUCUCCCCUCCUCACCCCUCCUCCUCUCCCAUCCUCUGUGUGGAAAAAACCAUGUUUCAGAACUGUCGGAUGUUUAUGGACGGGGAAUCCAAAGAGUUGCCUUGGUAUGUGCAAAUACCUUUUACGUAGCCCAUCUCAAAUUACGUUAAAAAAAAUAAAGAAGGCAAUUUCAGAAUACCUGUCUCCAGCUAUCCCUCCUAGGUCAACAAAGGCACCCAUCUUCCACCAUGAGCAACAGGAAGGCCUAACCCAGAAGAAGCCUAACAUGAAAAAACAACAUUAUCUGUUACCUUGUACAGACUGGUGGAGAUCGGAGAUUUUAACGAGGAGUGGCCAGAGACAAACGGUAUGUAAAAUCCACCCUGAAUGAAAGAGCUGAACCUCGGAGGAAUAGAGUACAAUCGGAUGAUCCACACUUUUUUUUUAUUAAAGUUUGCAAAAUUUACAGACUUAUUAAAGCGGUUGAUCAUCAGAAAAAUGUUUCAGAAGACUGUUAUCAUCAAUCUCUGAAUAAAAAUAACCACAAACUUAGUAACUUUGAUUAAACCAGCUAUCUCAAUAGAAGGACACAGACUCUAAUUGAGGAGAUGCUAAAAACUCAGCUCAGAGAUAAAUUUUUAUCCUUCAUGACUAUUAUAACCAAAGCAUAGAGUAUGAGUUUAAAAUUUGUUUUCAGUUUUCUAGAGAGGCCCCUUUGAGAUGGCAGCAUCCUGGGAGAAACGGAACCUGGGCCGCCGUCUCCAGCCCGAGUCGUUGGACCAGAACCAGGCGGUGGUUAUAGCCGAGCUAGCAGACUGGAAUCCAGCUACCACACCAGCAGUGACACACCCAGUAAACCAGAACAACAGCCACAGACCUGCCUCCAAACAAGAAUAACAGAGGACUCCUCCUCUUAUUGUCUUCC